CGAACGGUAACAGGAAGAAGCUUGCUUCUUUGCUGACGAGUGGCGGACGGGUGAGUAAUGUCUGGGAAACUGCCUGAUGGAGGGGGAUAACUACUGGAAACGGUAGCUAAUACCGCAUAACGUCGCAAGACCAAAGAGGGGGACCUUCGGGCCUCUUGCCAUCGGAUGUGCCCAGAUGGGAUUAGCUAGUAGGUGGGGUAACGGCUCACCUAGGCGACGAUCCCUAGCUGGUCUGAGAGGAUGACCAGCCACACUGGAACUGAGACACGGUCCAGACUCCUACGGGAGGCAGCAGUGGGGAAUAUUGCACAAUGGGCGCAAGCCUGAUGCAGCCAUGCCGCGUGUAUGAAGAAGGCCUUCGGGUUGUAAAGUACUUUCAGCGGGGAGGAAGGGAGUAAAGUUAAUACCUUUGCUCAUUGACGUUACCCGCAGAAGAAGCACCGGCUAACUCCGUGCCAGCAGCCGCGGUAAUACGGAGGGUGCAAGCGUUAAUCGGAAUUACUGGGCGUAAAGCGCACGCAGGCGGUUUGUUAAGUCAGAUGUGAAAUCCCCGGGCUCAACCUGGGAACUGCAUCUGAUACUGGCAAGCUUGAGUCUCGUAGAGGGGGGUAGAAUUCCAGGUGUAGCGGUGAAAUGCGUAGAGAUCUGGAGGAAUACCGGUGGCGAAGGCGGCCCCCUGGACGAAGACUGACGCUCAGGUGCGAAAGCGUGGGGAGCAAACAGGAUUAGAUACCCUGGUAGUCCACGCCGUAAACGAUGUCGACUUGGAGGUUGUGCCCUUGAGGCGUGGCUUCCGGAGCUAACGCGUUAAGUCGACCGCCUGGGGAGUACGGCCGCAAGGUUAAAACUCAAAUGAAUUGACGGGGGCCCGCACAAGCGGUGGAGCAUGUGGUUUAAUUCGAUGCAACGCGAAGAACCUUACCUGGUCUUGACAUCCACGGAAGUUUUCAGAGAUGAGAAUGUGCCUUCGGGAACCGUGAGACAGGUGCUGCAUGGCUGUCGUCAGCUCGUGUUGUGAAAUGUUGGGUUAAGUCCCGCAACGAGCGCAACCCUUAUCCUUUGUUGCCAGCGGUCCGGCCGGGAACUCAAAGGAGACUGCCAGUGAUAAACUGGAGGAUGGUGGGGGUGACGUCAAGUCAUCAUGGCCCUUACGACCAGGGCUACACACGUGCUACAAUGGCGCAUACAAAGAGAAGCGACCUCGCGAGAGCAAGCGGACCUCAUAAAGUGCGUCGUAGUCCGGAUUGGAGUCUGCAACUCGACUCCAUGAAGUCGGAAUCGCUAGUAAUCGUGGAUCAGAAUGCCACGGUGAAUACGUUCCCGGGCCUUGUACACACCGCCCGUCACACCAUGGGAGUGGGUUGUAAAAGAAGUAGGUAGCUUAACCUUCGGGAGGGCGCUUACCACUUUGUGAUUCAUGACUGGGGUGAAGUCGUAACAAGGUAACCGUAGGGGAACCUGCGGUUG
This 1467-nucleotide ribosomal RNA is filed under the name metagenome. RNAcentral's name for it is "bacterial SSU rRNA". It matches the Rfam family "Bacterial small subunit ribosomal RNA". The record is from RNAcentral.